GGAGAGCCCCAUGUGGGAUUACAAACUUGCUGGAAAUGGAUGAGAAACCUUCUGCUCUGCUGGAGUUUAUCUUGAGUGUGCCUUAAAAUUCCAUUUCAUGGAGAACUGUGCGUGGUUGAAUUUUGAUUGAUUACUCAAUUAACUGAUGUAUUGGUAGAGUGAUUAAGAAAGAAGACUUUGGGAUCAGACCAACCUGGUUUUGAAUUCAAGCUCAGCAACUUACUAGGUAAGGAGGAGAAAAGAAAGAAGGAAAAAUUGGAAAGAUAAAUGGGGUCUUUCCAGUGAAGCUGCAGUUAUGGCAUUAACCACCCAGUUGUUACCUACUUCUAGAUGAAACUCCAACCCCUAACACAGGGGAGAUUCAAUACUGACUGUCAUGUUAUCCACUGGAGAAUUUUACUAAUAAAAUUGUAUCCCUGCUCUAUUCAGGGCUCAAUUUUCCUACAUAAUUAAGAGUUUGGAAUUCGGGCAAUAUCAAGAACCACAUCUGUCCUGAAAUCAAUUAUCUCUGUUUGAAACACAAGAAAUAAGAAGACCAUUUUGAGAAGAACAGAGAGUAGCCUUAAGAAAAUCCCUGUCGCAAGCACUCUGGGAUUUGGACUCAAAUGCUAAUUAUACAGAACCACUUGGGUGCCCAGCUGCUGUCCAUUCUCUACACUUAUCCCACCUGAUGGAAGGCUGUUAAGAAAAACAUCACUGCAAUGCCUAAUAAACAGACAUGGGUCCCAGACCCAAUAAGAGUGAAACCAUCCCCCUAUUUAAAUGAAAUUAUGGCUGAUGAGAAAGACAAAUUAAUUUCUCUGUCCCUAGUAUUACACAAAACUUUGGAUGCUGCCAUUGUUACAAUUUUAUUUUCCCCAGGAGCUCAGAGUCCCACCUUCAUUCUUUUUGUUUAAUGCUUAAGCUUGCCUGUCCACCUAUGGAAGACUAGAAUGAGCAAAGACCAUGUAUUCAAUGAUCUGUAAAUCUAACAGGAAACAAUAUAAUAAAUAUAUUGUGUUUGCUAACCAAA
RNAcentral lists this long non-coding RNA (1012 nucleotides) under Homo sapiens (human). RNAcentral describes it as "novel transcript". Lineage: Eukaryota; Metazoa; Chordata; Mammalia; Primates; Hominidae. The record is from RNAcentral.